This 827-nucleotide non-coding RNA is filed under the name Drosophila simulans. RNAcentral's name for it is "Eukaryotic large subunit ribosomal RNA". It matches the Rfam family "Eukaryotic large subunit ribosomal RNA", at positions 1728 to 2490 of the family's 3401-position model. The record is from Rfam by way of RNAcentral. Lineage: Eukaryota; Metazoa; Arthropoda; Insecta; Diptera; Drosophilidae.
CUUUCGCAGAGAGAUAUGGUAGAUGGGCUAGAAGAGCAUGACAUAUACUGUUGUGUCGAUAUUUUCUCCUCGGACCUUGAAAAUUUAUGGUGGGGACACGCAAACUUCUCAACAGGCCGUACCAAUAUCCGCAGCUGGUCUCCAAGGUGAAGAGUCUCUAGUCGAUAGAAUAAUGUAGGUAAGGGAAGUCGGCAAAUUAGAUCCGUAACUUCGGGAUAAGGAUUGGCUCUGAAGAUUGAGAUAGUCGGGCUUGAUUGGGAAACAAUAACAUGGUUUAUGUGCUCGUUCUGGGUAAAUAGAGUUUCUAGCAUUUAUGUUAGUUACUUGUUCCCCGGAUAGUUUAGUUACGUAGCCAAUUGUGGAACUUUCUUGCUAAAAUUUUUAAGAAUACUAUUUGGGUUAAACCAAUUAGUUCUUAUCAAUUAUAACGAUUAUCAAUUAACAAUCAAUUCAGAACUGGCACGGACUUGGGGAAUCCGACUGUCUAAUUAAAACAAAGCAUUGUGAUGGCCCUAGCGGGUGUUGACACAAUGUGAUUUCUGCCCAGUGCUCUGAAUGUCAAAGUGAAGAAAUUCAAGUAAGCGCGGGUCAACGGCGGGAGUAACUAUGACUCUCUUAAGGUAGCCAAAUGCCUCGUCAUCUAAUUAAUGACCCGCAUGAAUGGAUUAACGAAAUUCCUACUGUCCCUAACUACUAUCUAACGAAACCACACCCAAAGGAACAGGCUUGGAAUAAUUAACGGGGAAAGAAAACCUUUUUAAGCUUGACCCAACCCGGCCAUGUAAGGAAAACAAAAAAGGGUAAAAUAAGUGGGAAAAAUUAAACCU